RNAcentral lists this ribosomal RNA (714 nucleotides) under uncultured bacterium. RNAcentral describes it as "bacterial SSU rRNA". It matches the Rfam family "Bacterial small subunit ribosomal RNA", at positions 789 to 1501 of the family's 1533-position model. The record is from RNAcentral.
GGUAGUCCACGCCGUAAACGAUGUCAACUAGCCGUUGGGAGCCUUGAGCUCUUAGUGGCGCAGCUAACGCAUUAAGUUGACCGCCUGGGGAGUACGGCCGCAAGGUUAAAACUCAAAUGAAUUGACGGGGGCCCGCACAAGCGGUGGAGCAUGUGGUUUAAUUCGAUGCAACGCGAAGAACCUUACCUGGCCUUGACAUCCAGAGAACUUAGCAGAGAUGCUUUGGUGCCUUCGAGAGCUCUGAGACAGGUGCUGCAUGGCUGUCGUCAGCUCGUGUUGUGAAAUGUUGGGUUAAGUCCCGCAACGAGCGCAACCCUUAUCCUUUGUUGCCAGCGGCUCGGCCGGAAACUCAAAGGAGACUGCCGGUGAUAAACCGGAGGAAGGUGGGGAUGACGUCAAGUCAUCAUGGCCCUUACGGCCAGGGCUACACACGUGCUACAAUGGCGCAUACAAAGAGAAGCGACCUCGCGAGAGCAAGCGGACCUCAUAAAGUGCGUCGUAGUCCGGAUUGGAGUCUGCAACUCGACUCCAUGAAGUCGGAAUCGCUAGUAAUCGUAGAUCAGAAUGCUACGGUGAAUACGUUCCCGGGCCUUGUACACACCGCCCGUCACACCAUGGGAGUGGGUUGCGGAAAGUAAGUAGGUAGCUUAACCUUCGGGAGGGCGCUUACCACUUUGUGAUUCAUGACUGGGGUGAAGUCGUAACAAGGUAACC